AGUGAACGCUGGCGGUAGGCCUAACACAUGCAAGUCGAACGGCAGCACAGUAAGAGCUUGCUCUUACGGGUGGCGAGUGGCGGACGGGUGAGGAAUACAUCGGAAUCUACUUUUUCGUGGGGGAUAACGUAGGGAAACUUACGCUAAUACCGCAUACGACCUACGGGUGAAAGCAGGGGAUCUUCGGACCUUGCGCGAUUGAAUGAGCCGAUGUCGGAUUAGCUAGUUGGCGGGGUAAAGGCCCACCAAGGCGACGAUCCGUAGCUGGUCUGAGAGGAUGAUCAGCCACACUGGAACUGAGACACGGUCCAGACUCCUACGGGAGGCCGCAGUGGGGAAUAUGGGACAAUGGGCGCAAGCCUGAUCCAGCCAUACCGCGUGGGUGAAGAAGGCCUUCGGGUUGUAAAGCCCUUUUGUUGGGAAAGAAAAGCAGCAGGUUAAUACCCCGCUGUUCUGACGGUACCCAAAGAAUAAGCACCGGCUAACUUCGUG
RNAcentral lists this ribosomal RNA (492 nucleotides) under uncultured bacterium. Its description in RNAcentral is "partial 16S ribosomal RNA". It matches the Rfam family "Bacterial small subunit ribosomal RNA", at positions 29 to 507 of the family's 1533-position model. The record is from RNAcentral.